AUUGAACGCUGGCGGCAUGCUUUACACAUGCAAGUCGAACGGUAACAGGCCGCAAGGUGCUGACGAGUGGCGAACGGGUGAGUAAUGCAUCGGAACGUGCCCAGUCGUGGGGGAUAACUACUCGAAAGAGUAGCUAAUACCGCAUACGAUCUAUGGAUGAAAGCGGGGGACCGUAAGGACUCGCGCGAUUGGAGCGGCCGAUGUCAGAUUAGGUAGUUGGUGGGGUAAAGGCUCACCAAGCCAACGAUCUGUAGCUGGUCUGAGAGGACGACCAGCCACACUGGGACUGAGACACGGCCCAGACUCCUACGGGAGGCAGCAGUGGGGAAUUUUGGACAAUGGGCGCAAGCCUGAUCCAGCAAUGCCGCGUGCAGGAAGAAGGCCUUCGGGUUGUAAACUGCUUUUGUACGGAACGAAACGGCUCUGGUUAAUACCCGGGGCUAAUGACGGUACCGUAAGAAUAAGCACCGGCUAACUACGUG
This 482-nucleotide ribosomal RNA is filed under the name uncultured bacterium. RNAcentral describes it as "partial 16S ribosomal RNA". It matches the Rfam family "Bacterial small subunit ribosomal RNA", at positions 30 to 507 of the family's 1533-position model. The record is from RNAcentral.